Molecule: ribosomal RNA, 311 nt
Filed under: uncultured bacterium
Lineage: Bacteria
Description: partial 16S ribosomal RNA
Rfam family: Bacterial small subunit ribosomal RNA
Source: RNAcentral
UAAGAGACAGCAGUCGCCGCGGUAAUACAGAGGGUGCGAGCGUUAAUCGGAUUUACUGGGCGUAAAGCGUGCGUAGGCGGCUUUUUAAGUCGGAUGUGAAAUCCCUGAGCUUAACUUAGGAAUUGCAUUCGAUACUGGGAAGCUAGAGUAUGGGAGAGGAUGGUAGAAUUUCAGGUGUAGCGGUGAAAUGCGUAGAGAUCUGGAGGAAUACCGAUGGCGAAGGCAGCCAUCUGGCCUAAUACUGACGCUGAGGUACGAAAGCAUGGGGAGCAAACAGGAUUAGAUACCCCGUAGUCCCUGUCUCUUAUACA